Long non-coding RNA from Carassius auratus (goldfish), 913 nucleotides. RefSeq lists it as uncharacterized. The transcript has 3 exons. Lineage: Eukaryota; Metazoa; Chordata; Actinopteri; Cypriniformes; Cyprinidae. The record is from RefSeq and is a predicted model, not a curated record.
UAUGCUAAUUAUGUCUCUGUUUGUUUCUCUAUUUAACUAGGAUUGACACAAGCUCCAGUCUAGAUCCAGAACACCUGAGAAGAGAAGAUGCCAACCCCUCAGAGGACCUCAGCCUCAAAACCAAAAAUCUCAAUGGCAGUGAAACUGUAAUCUUGACCUUUACAUUCUGUUAUGAUGGAGAAGAUCAGUCCGAGUGGGGAUUUAAGAGCUUUCCACUGCCUUUCCAUGCAGCAACAUCAUGCUUUAGCGAGGCCACUGUGCUGCUUUAUGGGCUGAAGAUGAUAGAUUGGACUCAGCGUUUGUUUAUAAUAGAACAGGGUAUUGACUGGGCUCUUGGCCAUUGCGUCUCACAAGCACUGGGUCUAUUUUAAGCAUCUUGUUUGUGCACAAACAAUUGACAUUCAUCAUAAGAGUGGAUUCGCAUGCAUUACAAAUCUUCCAAAUGUUCUAACACCUCACUGAGAUCCCCACACAAUGCAUUGCAGGUGAUUAAAUGCUCUAAAGAUUUCAUCAUCCAGGCAAAACCGCACAUACAUUUGCAAUUUUUGGAUUUCCAUCCUGUUUCUCUUUCUCUCUCCUCCACCGAAACACUUAAUAGAAGUUUUGUCUCGCUCAAUGAACACAUAAUACCUGCAUUUUUCAUAAGCUGAGAGAGGUUGACAGUCCUAACAUUAGUGAGUGACAGCCAACAAUACUGUACGAAACAUGCUUUUCGGUCAUAUGUGCAUCAGUGACGUGACAGACAACUUGUCGACUGCAGUUUCAUUGGUACAGCGCACAUCAAGAAAACUGGCUCAUAGACCUCAGGUAUGAGUCCUGAAACUUAAAAAGGAGUCGGUUCAGGUAUUGAAUUCAGUUGUCGAUCUCUUUCAUGUGAACGGUAUUUAGGACCUGAGACAGGAUUUACAGCUGU